CCGGUAGGUACUCGAGUGGCGAACGGGUGAGUAACACGUGGGUGAUCUGCCCUGCACUCUGGGAUAAGCCUGGGAAACUGGGUCUAAUACCGGAUAGGACCAUGCUUUAGUGUGUGUGGUGGAAAGUUUUUCGGUGUAGGAUGAGCCCGCGGCCUAUCAGCUUGUUGGUGGGGUAAUGGCCUACCAAGGCGGCGACGGGUAGCCGGACUGAGAGGUUGGUCGGCCACAUUGGGACUGAGGUACGGCCCAG
This 250-nucleotide ribosomal RNA is filed under the name uncultured Actinomycetales bacterium. RNAcentral describes it as "partial 16S ribosomal RNA". It matches the Rfam family "Bacterial small subunit ribosomal RNA", at positions 80 to 334 of the family's 1533-position model. The record is from RNAcentral. Lineage: Bacteria; Bacillati; Actinomycetota; Actinomycetes; Actinomycetales.